AUACCGGCGGCUCGAGUGGUGGCCACUUUUAUUGGGCUUAAAGCGUUCGUAGCUGGGUUGUUAAGUCUCUUGGGAAAUCCGACGGCUUAACCGUCGGGCGUCUAAGAGAUACUGGCAAUCUUGGAACCGGGAGAGGUGAGGGGUACUUCGGGGGUAGGAGUGAAAUCCUGUAAUCCUCGAGGGACCACCUGUGGCGAAGGCGCCUCACCAGAACGGCUUCGACAGUGAGGGACGAAAGCUGGGGGAGC
Molecule: ribosomal RNA, 248 nt
Filed under: uncultured bacterium
Lineage: Bacteria
Description: partial 16S ribosomal RNA
Rfam family: Archaeal small subunit ribosomal RNA
Source: RNAcentral